Molecule: long non-coding RNA, 3227 nt
Filed under: Ananas comosus (pineapple)
Lineage: Eukaryota; Viridiplantae; Streptophyta; Magnoliopsida; Poales; Bromeliaceae
Description: long non-coding RNA (ACOM_LNC014286)
Source: RNAcentral
ACAACAAAAAAAAGAAAAAAAGUCACGAGUUCGAGUUCGAGACGAAGAAACUUAAAUCUUAAUUAACGAAUGAAUGCAUUAAUUAUUAAUUAGUAUAUAGUACUCUUUGGAUGUAGGAGUCGGGCAUGAGGGAGCGGAGGACGGCGAGGUGGUCGUUCAUGAGGCGGCGGCGGUUGCGCUCGACGGCGAUGUGCGUCAUCCGCUGGCUCUCCACCUCCUCCUUGCUGCCGCCGCUCCUCGGCCGCCGCCGCCGCUUCCUCUUCCCUCCCUGCACCCUCAUCUGCUGCUGCUCCACCGCCGCCGCCGCCGCUGCCUCGGGCGGCGCGGGGCCGAGCACCGCCGCGCUUUCCGAGGGGUUGGUGUAGUGGAGCUGCGUGGCGUUGAUGGUGUCGUAGAUGAAGAAGCUGGGGAGCUCACUCGAACAUAGUCCUCCGAGUGUACUACUCAUUGUAUGUAUGCGCUCUCUCUCUCCCUCCCCCCUUCUCUCUCUCUCUCUCUCUCUAAUUAAGCUUCUUCAUACUACCUUUAUGUAUGCAGCCCGCACAAACACACACUCUCUCUCUCUCUCUCUCUCUCUCUCUCUCUCUCUCCCUCUCUCUCUCUCACUCACUGCAUGAGGUCGCGUGUACAUAAGACUACAAACCAUUACCACCAAAACCCACUUUUUCUUUCGCAAGGUUCGUGAGUGUUGAGUGUGUGUGUGUGUGUGUGUGUGUGUGUGUGUGUGUGAUAUGAGGUGAAGUUCAAAAGAGAGGAAGGGGGUUGUGAAGAAGAUUACACGUGAGGGGUCAGGAAAGGAGAAUAGCUUUUUUAUUUGCUUCAAAAAAUUUUAAAAAGAGCUCUCUCUCUCUCUCUCUCUCUCUCUCUCUCUCUCCAAAUACAAAUACUCUACAAAGAGGCUGCAACCCAUGUCACGAAAUGAGGUGGGGGACCCAUUAGCAUCAUCGGAAUAGAGACAACAAAACCAUGGUGAUUACAUAUAUAUAUAAUAGCCAGAGCGAGAAUCAGGUGAGGAGGAGAGCGAAAACAAGCACAUGGUCCAGUGGACGUAUUUAAUACAAGAGAAGCCCAGCAUAUACUCUCGCAUAACCAACCUGUACUUUAAGGUAUCGUUUGGUUCGAGGAUAAGAAAAAAAUAAUUAUUUCAAAAAUAAAUAUAAAUUGAGAUAUAAGCGGGAAUUAGAUCAAUUUUGUGUUUGGAUGAAAAUUAGAUUAUUCCUGGGAAUAAAAAAAAAAUAGCGUUUGGUUAGGUAAGAUGGAAUAAGAAAGAUAAUGGGUUUUAUAAAUAAAAAAUAAUAAUAUUAUCCUCUUAUUAUAUUUGAAUUUAAAUUUUUAAAAUUUUAAAUAUAUAUUUUUAAAUUUAAAAUUUUAACUUUGAAAUUUCAAAAUUUGAAAUUUAAAAUCUCAAAUUUUAAAUUCAAAAUUUUAAAUUUUAAAUUUCAAACUUUAAAUUUAAGAUCAAAUUUUAAAAAAUUAAAUUUUUAAUUUUUAAAUUUUUAAAAUAAGAAUAGGGGUGGGACCAAUUAAUAAAAACUAUUUAUUAUAUAAAUUUAAAAAAAAAUUUAAAAUUCUACUUAAACUUAAAUUUAAUAAAAAGAAUUUAUUAUAAUAUUUAAAUAUAAUUUAUUAUAAAUGUUAUUAUAAUAUUUAAAUAUAAAUAAUAUGUAUUAAUAUAGUACAAUUAAGAAAGUGCAGGACGCAUAAAUGCAUGUGGUUCCACGGUGAAGGGAAUAAUAUUCUGCCAAACUAGAGUAUGAACGCUUCGAUCAAACUGUGUACCCGCAUUAAUUACUACGGAAAUUGACCAUGUACUUAUAACAAUGGCACGUUGCCGUUAAAAUAAAAUAAAUAAAUAAAUAAAUAUCAAAAUGUAUAUAUUUCUCCUUAAUUUUCUUUUUUUCUUUUCCAUUAAAUUUGACAAAAUCUGAGGAGAAGAGAUGAGAUGAGAUGAGGUAAAGAAACUCCAUGAGGGUAAUAAUUAAUAUCUGACUAGUAUCACAGUACAAAUAUAAACAUGCAUACUGUACGAAUUUCCAAAAACUCACUCAAACCGGAAAAUUCCGAGCUUGUUUGAAAUGCACUGAUAAUAUUGCACAAUGUACACUUUAAUGUCAAAACUAUUAAAAUUCUAGUGGUAGUUUGAGUGACGAGAUUUUACAACAAAAAAAAGAAAAAAAGUCACGAGUUCGAGUUCGAGACGAAGAAACUUAAAUCUUAAUUAACGAAUGAAUGCAUUAAUUAUUAAUUAGUAUAUAGUACUCUUUGGAUGUAGGAGUCGGGCAUGAGGGAGCGGAGGACGGCGAGGUGGUCGUUCAUGAGGCGGCGGCGGUUGCGCUCGACGGCGAUGUGCGUCAUCCGCUGGCUCUCCACCUCCUCCUUGCUGCCGCCGCUCCUCGGCCGCCGCCGCCGCUUCCUCUUCCCUCCCUGCACCCUCAUCUGCUGCUGCUCCACCGCCGCCGCCGCCGCUGCCUCGGGCGGCGCGGGGCCGAGCACCGCCGCGCUUUCCGAGGGGUUGGUGUAGUGGAGCUGCGUGGCGUUGAUGGUGUCGUAGAUGAAGAAGCUGGGGAGCUCACUCGAACAUAGUCCUCCGAGUGUACUACUCAUUGUAUGUAUGCGCUCUCUCUCUCCCUCCCCCCUUCUCUCUCUCUCUCUCUCUCUAAUUAAGCUUCUUCAUACUACCUUUAUGUAUGCAGCCCGCACAAACACACACACUCUCUCUCUCUCUCUCUCUCUCUCUCUCCCUCUCUCUCUCUCACUCACUGCAUGAGGUCGCGCGUACAUAAGACUACAAACCAUUACCACCAAAACCCACUUUUUCUUUCGCAAGGUUCGUGAGUGUUGAGUGUGUGUGUGUGUGUGUGUGUGUGUGUGUGUGUGUGAUAUGAGGUGAAGUUCAAAAGAGAGGAAGGGGGUUGUGAAGAAGAUUACACGUGAGGGGUCAGGAAAGGAGUAUAGCUUUUCUAUUUCUGCUUCAAAAAAUUUUAAAAAGAGCUCUCUCUCUCUCUCUCUCUCUCUCUCUCUCUCUCUCCAAAUACAAAUACUCUACAAAGAGGCUGCAACCCAUGUCACGAAAUGAGAUGGGGGACCCAUUAGCAUCAUCGGAAUAGAGACAACAAAACCAUGGUGAUUACAUAUAUAUAUAAUAGCCAGAGCGAGAAUCAGGUGAGGAGGAGAGCGAAAACAAGCACAUGGUCCAGUGGACGUAUUUAAUACAAGAGAAGCCCAGC